GAUGAACGCUAGCGGGAGGCCUAACACAUGCAAGCCGAGCGGUAGAGUUUCUUCUGAAACUUGAGAGCGGCGCACGGUUGCGUAACACUUGUGCAACCUACCUUUAUCUGUUGUAUAUCCUUUCUAAAGGAAGUUUAAUACCCCAUAAUAUAAUUAUUUGCAUCAAUUAUUAUUGAUAACUCCUGUGGUUUGUUAUGUGCACGCGCAAGAUUAGAUAGUUGGUUAGGUAACUGCUCACCAAGUCAAUGAUCUUUAGGUGUCCUGAGAGGGAGAUCACCCACAAGGGUACUGAGAAACGGAACAGAAUCAUACGGGAGGCAGCAGUGAGGAAGAUUGGACAAUGGGUGAGAGAAUGAUCAAGCCAUCCAGCGUGAAGGAUGACGGUCAUAUGGAUUGUAAACUUCUUUUGAAAAGGGAUAAACCUACCAACGUGAGGGUAGAUGAAGGUACUGAACGAAUAAGCACCGGCUAACUACGUG
RNAcentral lists this ribosomal RNA (479 nucleotides) under uncultured bacterium. RNAcentral's name for it is "partial 16S ribosomal RNA". It matches the Rfam family "Bacterial small subunit ribosomal RNA", at positions 28 to 507 of the family's 1533-position model. The record is from RNAcentral.